This 578-nucleotide long non-coding RNA is filed under the name Salvator merianae (Argentine black and white tegu). RNAcentral describes it as "lncRNA (ENSSMRG00000020479.1)". The record is from RNAcentral. Lineage: Eukaryota; Metazoa; Chordata; Lepidosauria; Squamata; Teiidae.
GGCGUUCUUACAUGACCCGUAUUUGCCUUCUGUCCUUUUGCAUUCGAGGUUUCCAACGGUUGCAUCAGCAAGAUCCUCACCCGCUAUUACCGGACAGGGGCUGUCCAGCCCAGGGCGGUGGGAGGGAGCCGGCCACGCAUGGCCACGCCACAGACCGUGGCCAAGAUUGCUCGGAUGAAGCAGGAGCAGCCAUCCAUCUUUGCCUGGGAGAUCAGAGAGAAACUGCAAGCGGAGAGCAGCGGUGGCAGCAGCUGCCAUUUGCCCAGCGUCUCCUCCAUCAACCGCAUUCUCAGAAGCUCACAGAUGGGCUCCCAAGCGCUGGAUCAGUGCCCUGCACCCAUUCAACCUCUGCAAUCAGGCCUUCCUUCGCCAGGGAAAAAGAGCCCCAGAGGCUCUGCAGGGGCAGCAGACGCGCCCCCAUCUCCCCAGGGGACUCCGGAGGCACUCAGGCCGUCCGCAUCACCCAGCAAGCACCCCAACAGGCACAGGACCAUCUUUUCAAAGCAACAGCUUGAGCUCCUGGAACGAGCUUUCCAGAGAGAGCCGUAUCCAGGAAGAGCCACUCGGAAGAAGCUGAC